GAAUGAAUUGCCGCCUAGCUUGAAAAGCCAAGAAAUGAAACAAUACCUGUAAACUCCUCUUGUUCAUACUCUAGCCUCGUUGCAGUGCAAGAGCUAGUUUAGACAUGAACGUAUCUCCAAUUACUUGACAGAAAAACCUCCUUCCCUGCUUUCAGCAGACUGGUACUCAUCCUUUGAUUCUUGAAAGCUACUUUGAUUGCCAUAACUGCUACCAUUUGAAUAAGACUGCUGAAGCUCGGCCAACCUUCCAUUUUCAUUCCUCUUUUGAAUAUCAGCAGCAUUGAACUGCAAAGGUUCAGAACCCGAUGAACUCAC
This 315-nucleotide unclassified non-coding RNA is filed under the name Hevea brasiliensis (rubber tree). Lineage: Eukaryota; Viridiplantae; Streptophyta; Magnoliopsida; Malpighiales; Euphorbiaceae. The record is from RNAcentral.